Molecule: ribosomal RNA, 449 nt
Filed under: Poltys illepidus
Lineage: Eukaryota; Metazoa; Arthropoda; Arachnida; Araneae; Araneidae
Description: partial 16S large subunit ribosomal RNA
Rfam family: Bacterial large subunit ribosomal RNA
Source: RNAcentral
UUCUUACUGUUUAAUUAUUGUAAGUAACACCUGCUCCAUGAAUCUUAAAUAGCCGCGGAAAUUUAACCGUGCUAAGGUAGCAUAAUCAUUAGCCUCUUAAUUAGAGACUCGUAUGAACGGUGAAACAUUUCCUAUACUUUAUUCAAUAAAUUUAUCAAAUUUAAACUAAGAAUCAAAAUGUUCUUAUUAAUAAAAUAGACGAUAAGACCCUAUUGAACUUCACUCUUGUUUAGCUGGGGCAGCUAAAAAAACAUGAUCUUUUUUUCCUUACUUUAAUAAAUGACCCAAUUCAUUUGAUUUUAUGAACAAGUUACCAUAGGGAUAACAGCGUAAUUUUUUUUUAAAGUUCUUAUUUAAAAAAAAGAUUGCGACCUCGAUGUUGAAUUAGUAUCCCCUAGAAGAUGCAGUAAUUUUUAAGGUAGGUCUGUUCGACCUUUAAAAUAUUACAU